Molecule: unclassified non-coding RNA, 420 nt
Filed under: uncultured fungus
Lineage: Eukaryota; Fungi
Description: partial contains 5.8S ribosomal RNA and internal transcribed spacer 2
Rfam family: 5.8S ribosomal RNA (bases 1-133)
Source: RNAcentral
UGGUUCUGGCAUCGAUGAAGAACGCAGCGAAAUGCGAUAAGUAAUGUGAAUUGCAGAAUUCAGUGAAUCAUCGAAUCUUUGAACGCACCUUGCGCCCCUUGGCAUUCCGAGGGGCACACCCGUUUGAGUGUCGUGAACAUCCUCAACCUGCUUGGUUUUAUCGAACCAAGUAGGCUUGGAAUCUGGAGGUUUUCUGCUGGCCUCCUCCGAAGCCAGCUCCUCUUAAAUGUAUCAGUGGGAUCCACUUUGCUAGAUCCUCGACGUUGAUAAGAUGUUUCUACGUCUUGGGUUUUGCUCGGGAAGGACCUGCUUCUAACCGUCCCAAUUGGGGACAACGUUCGAGCCGAUCGCCCUUCAUGGGGUGGGAAGCUUUUCGACCCAUGAAACCUUGACCUCAAAUCGGGUGAGACUACCCGCUGA